UCAAUUCCAUUUUGGCAGAAAUUUUAAUGCAAAAGACUUAGACUCUUAACAACCUAAU
Molecule: transfer RNA, 58 nt
Filed under: Dysdera ambulotenta
Lineage: Eukaryota; Metazoa; Arthropoda; Arachnida; Araneae; Dysderidae
Description: tRNA-Leu
Source: RNAcentral